GAUGAAGAACGAAGCGAAAUGCGAUAAGUAAUGUGAAUUGCAGAAUUCAGUGAAUCAUCGAAUCUUUGAACGCACCUUGCGCCCUUUGGCUAUUCUGAAGGGCAUGCCUGUUUGAGUAUCAUGAACACCUCAACUCUCAUGGUUUGCCAUGAUGAGCUUGGACUUUGGGGGUCUUGCUGGCCUACGGUCAGCUCCUCUCAAAUGAAUCAGCUUGCCAGUGUUUGGUAGAGUCGCAGGUGUGAUAACUAUCUACGCUUGUGGUUUUCUGCCAGAUAACCUUCAGUGAUGGAGGUUCGCUGGAGCUUAUAAAUGUCUCUCCCCAGUGAGGACAGCUUUUUGAACGUUUGAUCUCAAAUCAGGUAGGACUACCCGCUGAACUUAAGCAUAUCAAUAAGCGGAGGA
Molecule: unclassified non-coding RNA, 402 nt
Filed under: soil metagenome
Description: partial contains 5.8S ribosomal RNA, internal transcribed spacer 2, and large subunit ribosomal RNA
Rfam family: 5.8S ribosomal RNA (bases 1-121)
Source: RNAcentral